This 1050-nucleotide ribosomal RNA is filed under the name unidentified archaeon. RNAcentral describes it as "bacterial SSU rRNA". It matches the Rfam family "Archaeal small subunit ribosomal RNA", at positions 5 to 1054 of the family's 1478-position model. The record is from RNAcentral.
CGGUUGAUCCUGCCAGAGGUUACUGCUAUCGAGAUUCGACUAAGCCAUGCGAGUUGAAUGUUCUUCGUGAACAUGGCGGACUGCUCAGUAACACGUGGACAACCUACCCUUGGGUCCGGCAUAAUCCUGGGAAACUGGGAAUAAUUCCGGAUAGGUCACCGAUGCUGGAAUGCGCGGUGGCCGAAAGCUCCGGCGCCCGAGGAUGGGUCUGCGGCCUAUCAGGGUUGUAGUGGGUGUAACGUACCUACUAGCCUACGACGGGUACGGGUUGUGAGAGCAAGAGCCCGGAGAUGGAUUCUGAGACACGAAUCCAGGCCCUACGGGGUGCAGCAGGCGCGAAAACUUUACAAUGCGGGAAACCCGUGAUAAGGGGAUCUCGAGUGCCAGCAUAUAAUGUUGGCUGUCCAGAUGCCUAAAAAGCAUCUGUUAGCAAGGGCCGGGCAAGACCGGUGCCAGCCGCCGCGGUAACACCGGCGGCCCGAGUGGUAACCGCUAUUAUUGGGUCUAAAGGGUCUGUAGCCGGCCAGGUAAGUCCCUUGGGAAAUCUGGCAGCUCAACUGUCAGGCUGCUAGGGGAUACUGUUUGGCUUGGGACCGGGAGAGGUGAGAGGUACCUUGGGGGUAGGGGUGAAAUCUUUGUGAUCCUCGAGGGACCACCAGUGGCGAAGGCGUCUCACCAGAACGGGUCCGACGGUAAGGGACGAAAGCUAGGGGCACGAACCGGAUUAGAUACCCGGGUAGUCCUAGCCGUAAACGAUGCUCGCUAGGUGUCAGUCACGGUGCGACCGUGAUUGGUGCCGUAGGGAAGCCGUGAAGCGAGCCACCUGGGAAGUAUGGCCGCAAGGCUGAAACUUAAAGGAAUUGGCGGGGGAGCACUACAACGGGUGGAGCCUGCGGUUUAAUUGGAUUCAACGCCGGAAAUCUCACCGGGGGCGACAGCGAUAUGAAGGUCAGGCUGAAGACUUUACCGGAUUAGCUGAGAGGUGGUGCAUGGCCGUCGUCAGUUCAUACUGUGAAGCAUCCUGUUAAGUCAGGUAACGAGCGAGACCCG